CUCUGCUGGCACCAAGAGUUUAUGCAGAGGAACUGACCCAAAGUAUAAUUUCCUUCAGCCACAUAUUAGUAACCUAUUCAGAAUCUGCUUAAUGUGAAAAAAAGCUUUCCUUUUAGGAAAAUAAAAACACUUUAUGAAGGACUCCGAAUGUGCUCCAAUGAUCCUAGACAAAGAACUCCAUUUCUAGAAGAUUCAAA
Molecule: long non-coding RNA, 197 nt
Filed under: Mus pahari (shrew mouse)
Lineage: Eukaryota; Metazoa; Chordata; Mammalia; Rodentia; Muridae
Description: predicted gene 29513 (MGP_PahariEiJ_G0004698.1)
Source: RNAcentral